UUUUUUUUUUAAAUACUUUAGGUAAUAUUCAUAAAAAUUGCUGAUGAUGCAUUAGAGAGAUUGACAUAUGUUACAGAAGAAGUUAUAAAAUCAUUUGAAUCCUGUGAUAUUGAUAUUACUGAUAAGAAAAAAUUUGCUCCCCAUCUAACAAUUUUAAAAUUAUCAAAGGACUCUAGAUUAUGGAAAAAGGGUAUCAAAAAAGUUGAAUGUUGUUUAUAUGAUGAAUUCAAGGAUGAACAGUUUGGAACAGAAAUAGUUAAAGGUUUACAGCUAUUAGAAAUGAAGCGCAAAGAUGACACUGGAUAUUAUCAUUGCUGUAAAGAAUUUUUAUUUGAAAAUUCAAAAUAUUCAAAAAACGAAUGUUCAGAAGAAUCCGAAGCAAAAAUAGGAGAGAGUCCAAAGGUUGUUCUUCGAAAGGAGAAAGAAAACGUGCGAAAGAAAAUUUCGUCUUUAACCGAAACACAACUAAAAAGAUUAUGACAGAAGCAAUAAUCAAUGAAAAUUAGUAAUUUUAUACACAUGCACCUUGUAUUUUUCUAUGUACAAAAUACUUGUAUUAUAGAAUAUCCACGUUGCACAAAAUCACAAUUAGUAAAAUUGGAUUGCAAGAACAGAAAACUCACACCUUUGUACAUUAAAUAAAGUUUAUUUUCAUUCUGAUUCUUUCUCUGCAUACAUAUCUUUGGUUAUAUCUGGAGAGACACUGUGCUUCAACAUCUUGUUGUCAUCAAAACAAUCAGUUUUGUUACUUUACAUAUACUUAAGAAUAAAAUAAAUGCAGAAAGUAAGCCAUGCGAUAUUUGUUACCUUAUAAAAACAGAUAUCAGUUUGAAUUUUUCUGCUUUUAUUUCUGGAAAACAAAGUGUGGAGACAAACUAUAGAUACUUUCAAUAGAAAUGAUCAAAAUUACAAUUAAGAAAUGUAAUGAUUUUAUAUCUUCUAUUCCUCCUUUUGGAACAGCAUCGAAUGUAUUCAUGCAAAUGAAAUCAUAUUGUCAUCUGUAUAAUUUACAAUCAAUAUAUCAAUUCAAGAUUAUCAAUUAUUUGUUCUUGCAUUUUAACAUUUUACAUUCUCUUAUAUUUAACAUUUUAAAAUCAUUAAAUAGAAGAUUCAUUGAAUUACCUUAACAAAAAACAAUGGGGCAUGUGCCUUGGUACCUCCCAAUUGCCUUAGCAACACCCAUAUAUACUUAGAUAUACAGUAAAUAAUUCUUAUCCCAUUGACAUAUUUUAACUGUUUAGAAAUUGUUCAUUUGUACAAUUUGUGACACACAACAAAGUAAUUAUAUGUCAGAUUUCUUAUACUGGAUGGUUUAAGUAGGUUUAAGUUACAUGGGUAACCAGUGAAUGGGUGCAUGAGUUUGCUAUUUCAGCCAGUUCUUUUUCCCCUUAUGCCUACGUGUCCCAGACUUAACAAAAUCUCACUUGGUAGUAUCAUAAAAAGCUGGUAUAAUAGCUGCGGGACCUUCUGCACGAGACAGUCCUGAAAAAACUAGAGUUCAAAGUCUGCAUUGUACUGACAAAAUACUCACUUGGUAGUAUCAUAAAAAGCUGGUAUAAUAGCUGCGGACCUUCUGCACGAGACAGUCCUGAAAAAACUAGAGUUCAAAGCCUGCAUUGUACUGACAAAAUACCUAUGUCUCCCACCAAUUUUGAUAGGUAGUGUUUGAUAUGAUUAUGAAAUCUUCCAAACCGUUUCGUUCUAAGGACCACUAGUAAUAUACUAGAUGGGGAGGGUCAUGCAGGCAAACUUCUUGAGAAGGGAGGAAGAGCAAGAGAAGGCCAUCCAUGCCGUGAUAUUGUAUCACUCAUUAAAAUAUCAAAACAAUUUUUUUUUUGGAGAGAUGAUACUUUAAUAUCAACUGCGGUAACUAUUCGACAAAGAAAAGUUUUCACAUUAUAUGAUUAGACUCUAUGAAUAAUGAACUAAUCUAAGUCUAAGCAGUAAAUCAAACAUGCUACUGUCUUGAUUGUGAAAAUAAGUAUUCUCAAUAGUAAUUAUUUUUGGUGAUUACAUUAAUAUUAAUCCCAUUUACUCAAGAAAUGGAACCUGUGCAGAAAUUAACCUUUUUUCCACCGAUUCGCUUUGAGAAGACCUGGUUUACAGUAUAUUUAGGGUGGAAUGUGAUGAAAAGAAAGAAGAAAAGCGAUAUUGU
This 2155-nucleotide long non-coding RNA is filed under the name Centruroides sculpturatus (bark scorpion). RNAcentral's name for it is "uncharacterized LOC111636723". The record is from RNAcentral. Lineage: Eukaryota; Metazoa; Arthropoda; Arachnida; Scorpiones; Buthidae.